Telopea speciosissima is the source of this 2586-nucleotide RNA transcript. It is a transcript of the gene named pentatricopeptide repeat-containing protein At1g08610, with no coding region annotated. NCBI's taxonomy places the organism in Eukaryota, Viridiplantae, Streptophyta, Magnoliopsida, Proteales, Proteaceae. The record is from RefSeq and is a predicted model, not a curated record. The transcript has 3 exons.
UACUCUGCUACAGGGACGAAUGAACUCAACGAGGCGAAGAACAGUUAAGGGAUUGAAGAGGAGUGUUCCUGAUUGUGGAGCAGCUGUUCUCCUUCCCUCUUAGUCAUUUGGCUUUAGUCUUUUACGUUGGAAAAAGAUGGGGUAUCCAGUUUUACAGCUGAAGACUAUAGGGGAUAUUCCUUGUCUUCAUGGUCUACAGUUCAAUAAUAAUCAUGUGAGAGUUAAUUAUGGUGUCAGCCACUGUUCAUUGAUUAGAGAACCUGUGUUUCACCUCCAUUGCUCAGCCAGAGGCUGGCUUAACCUUGGAUCUCGUAUACAAUGGCGAGGGCAUUUUGGUUUUGACAGAAAUGAAUAUUUUCUACAAUGUAGAGGACAGCAGAGGAGCAUCUGCAUCGAUAGUGCUAAUGAAAGUGGGAAAGAGAACUGGAACUUGGAAAGAUCCAUCAUGGAUGUUCAGAGGACACCAAAAGAUACCCAAUUGGAUUCUGAGAGACUACCAAAUGUGCCAUGGUUGUAUACAGAUGGAUCUUUUGUUGAUAACGAUGAAGAGUCCAACAACAAAGUCCUUCAUAAUUUCUGCAGCAAAGGGAAGAUAAAUGAAGCAUCAAACCUUAUUGGUGUAAUGGCACGGAGAAACCAGAUUCCUCAUUUCCCCACUUGCCAAAACAUUAUCCGUGGCUUGAUUAAUGCUGGUAGCAUCGACAAAGCCACAAAAGUGUUGAGCAUAAUGAUAUUUUCUGGUGGUGUGCCCGAUAUUAUCACUCACAAUAUGUUAAUUGGGGGUCUCUGUAAGAAAGGGCACUUGAAGUCUGCAAUUGAUCUUUUGGAAGACAUGAGCUUGAGUGGUUGCCCUCCAGAUAUAAUCACAUAUAAUACCAUACUUCGUUGCAUGUUUGACCAUGGUAGGUUUGAUCAGGCAAUAGGGUUUUGGAAGGAGCAGUUGAGAAAGGGGUGCCCUCCAUAUAUAAUCACGUGCACUGUGCUUGUAGAACUAGUCUGCAGGCAUUGUGGGGCUGAGCGUGCUAUAGAGGUUUUGGAAGAUAUGGUGAUAGAGGGCUGUUCUCCUGAUAUUGUGACCUAUAAUUCCCUUGUUAAUUCUACAUCUAAGGAAGGGAAGUAUGGAGAAACAACCUUGGUGAUCUCCAAUCUUCUUUCACAAGGAAUGGAACCUAAUGCUGUCACUUACAACACCCUUCUUCAUUCUCUCUGUAGCCGUGGUUAUUGGGAUGACAUGAAUGAUAUCCUCUCCCUCAUGAAUGAGACGUCCAAUCCUCCUACGAUUGUUACUUACAAUAUUUUGAUCAAUGGUCUGUGUAAACAAGGGCUUCUUGAUCGGGCCAUCGACUUUUUAGAUGAAAUGGUUUGUCGAGAUUGUUCUCCUGACAUCAUUACUUAUAAUACCCUUCUAGGGGCUCUAUGUAAAGUGGGGAUGACAGAUGAGGCUCUUUGUAUACUUCAUUCCUUAUGUGAUAGUGGCUGCUCACCUGUUUUGAUUACUUAUAAUACGGUUAUAGAUGGUUUAGCAAAGACGGGUGAUAUGAAGAAUGCAACAAGGCUUUAUAGUGAGAUGAUUGAAAGUGGAAUUAAUCCUGAUGAUAUUACAUUCCGUUCACUUAUUUGGGGUUUUUGUCGGGAUGGUUUAGUUGAGGAGGCUGUCGAGAUUUUAAGGGAGAUGGCUAAGAGAAACCAUAAGAUUAGAAACAGCACUUACAGUUCUGUAAUCCAGGGAUUAUGCCAAAAGAACAAGGUGGAUAUGGCUAUCCAAGUUCUAGACAUGAUGAUCUCAAGUCGUUGUAAGCCCAGUGAGACAAUUUAUGCCAAACUCAUUAAAGGUGUAGCUGCUGCUGGUAUGACAGAAGAGGCUGUAAAGCUACAUCAGAAGCUGAUUGAACAUAAGGUUCUUAAGGAAAAAAUCCUGCCUGAUUAGGGGGAGUGGGCGCAAAAGCUUCAGCAGAAUUCGUGCACUUAUCUUUUGGGUGCUUGUGGCUGCUUCAAUUUUGUCCUUCACUUGUAUGGCAUAUACUGUUUAAAGCGGGAGGUUCAAACAUCCAUAUCUACUCAUUGCUCCCGGGAUUACCCUUUCACCUGGAGAGCUGCUACAAGAAUAAGCAAGAUGCAGUAGUAAUCUGCCGAAAUGGUUGAGUAGAACCAUUAUCUAUUGAGAGCACUUUGCAAUGGCAUGUCAUGUCUAGAGUUACCAGUUCGCUGUUUGCGUGGUUCUAUUGUAAGUUCUUACAAGUUACAUCAACUCGGACACUCUGAAAGUUCAUUAGAUGCAGAAGAGAUGCCCAGAAACUAUAAUAUAGGCUCUGUGUAUAACUGUAUAUGAGUUCCUCUAGAGUUGAAUAUGUUCAUUAUUUACAUGAUCCUAUGUUACCUCUGGACCACACCAGUCAGACACUGUUCAACUGGAGUGGAGGAAUAUUUUAAGUCCAUGGGAGAACAAAAGAAAUCUGCACCCUCUUGAUGAAGCAAACGGCAGAUUUCUGGCAAUUUGACCACUUUGACAGGAACAGAGUUAUGGCAAAAGUAUCCAAAACAUUCAUUUAAUGUAAAUACUUAGGCUAUGAGUGUUAUUUUGGACCA